Molecule: ribosomal RNA, 870 nt
Filed under: Lacticaseibacillus paracasei
Lineage: Bacteria; Bacillati; Bacillota; Bacilli; Lactobacillales; Lactobacillaceae
Description: bacterial SSU rRNA
Rfam family: Bacterial small subunit ribosomal RNA
Source: RNAcentral
GUGCCUAUCAUGCAAGUCGAACGAGUUCUCGUUGAUGAUCGGUGCUUGCACCGAGAUUCAACAUGGAACGAGUGGCGGACGGGUGAGUAACACGUGGGUAACCUGCCCUUAAGUGGGGGAUAACAUUUGGAAACAGAUGCUAAUACCGCAUAGAUCCAAGAACCGCAUGGUUCUUGGCUGAAAGAUGGCGUAAGCUAUCGCUUUUGGAUGGACCCGCGGCGUAUUAGCUAGUUGGUGAGGUAAUGGCUCACCAAGGCGAUGAUACGUAGCCGAACUGAGAGGUUGAUCGGCCACAUUGGGACUGGACACGGCCCAAACUCCUACGGGAGGCAGCAGUAGGGAAUCUUCCACAAUGGACGCAAGUCUGAUGGAGCAACGCCGCGUGAGUGAAGAAGGCUUUCGGGUCGUAAAACUCUGUUGUUGGAGAAGAAUGGUCGGCAGAGUAACUGUUGUCGGCGUGACGGUAUCCAACCAGAAAGCCACGGCUAACUACGUGCCAGCAGCCGCGGUAAUACGUAGGUGGCAAGCGUUAUCCGGAUUUAUUGGGCGUAAAGCGAGCGCAGGCGGUUUUUUAAGUCUGAUGUGAAAGCCCUCGGCUUAACCGAGGAAGCGCAUCGGAAACUGGGAAACUUGAGUGCAGAAGAGGACAGUGGAACUCCAUGUGUAGCGGUGAAAUGCGUAGAUAUAUGGAAGAACACCAGUGGCGAAGGCGGCUGUCUGGUCUGUAACUGACGCUGAGGCUCGAAAGCAUGGGUAGCGAACAGGAUUAGAUACCCUGGUAGUCCAUGCCGUAAACGAUGAAUGCUAGGUGUUGGAGGGUUUCCGCCCUUCAGUGCCGCAGCUAACGCAUUAAGCAUUCCGCCUGGGGAG